CGAACGAGCGCUUAGAGUCCGCUUAUCAGUACGUCCGUCACUGGCGAGGAAAGCCGUAAUGAACUGUUUAGAAAACUGUCACGAACACGCGAGAAUGUGCGUAUAUACGAACGCGCGGGUCGGACGGGAGGCGUAACGCGCAUAUCUGCUUUCGUGCGGCUUUCGCGACGCAAUCGGUGCCUGUAAUCGCACGAAGGUUUCAAUGAAUCGCGCGAGGCAACGUGCCAGCUAGUCGCGGACCUUAUCAGCGUGGCAAAGAGCAGUAUCAGCGAUAGCCCAUUCCGUACGUCUAUUAGUCGCCGAAUCCCAAAGUUCGCCGGCGAUUUCAUUCUACAAAUGCAACGUACAGCUAUUUCAAGAUCCUGAUUCUUUUUUUUUUUUUUUAAUCAACAAUAUCGCGAUCUCGAAGCCGCUAAUCUAUGAUACGAUAUCAAAAGUGAUGGGCAACGAUGGAUAUAAUGCGUUAUAUCUUGAAUGAAACAAAAUUAUAACAGAAUGUUGGUAAAGAUAGGCGCAUUAUAAAGUAAUUUAUCGAUAAGAUAAUUCAUAAGAUUGCCUUGGUAAAACGCGUCGUUCAAAUUAAUAGAAAAAUACACUUGUGUAAAUAUUUAAAAUUUAAAGUUAAUUUCGAUUUGUACAACAGGAUGUUGAUACGCGAGUCGGGUGUGAAAACUAUCGCUCUCUAUUAUCUUUUUCUCUCGCUUUAUCGUAUUACUAAUAUUUACCAGUCAAUAGAAGAUGCGUGAUUUUAGGGAUCAUACAUUUUCGUUUGUGUUAAACAAUAACUGUUAAAUUCUCAUCGAUAAAAUAAUUUGUGUCGUUAUAAAAGUAGUUGAAGAAAAGAUUUUUUUGUCAUACAUAGUUUUAGAAAUUUUAUCAUACUUAUUUUUGCAUACUUUAUCGCGACCUAAUUCUUAUUUCAGGAUCGCUGAAUCGAAUAAUGUCAUCGACUUUUAAUCGAUGCUGAGAAGCAACGUUUCGGAGGCCAGACGCUAUCGCGCUAGAAUGGCAGUCGCGCUGCACGCGAAUGUGCAUAGGAAACUUAAUACCCGCGGGCUGCAAAUAAUAUUGUCGGGAAAGGCGGCGCAAACUGGCACAAAUGGACUCGCGUAACCGUGAUACGGGAUCGUCAUUUUCGCGGAAGAACAAUCGGCCGCGUGCGUAAUCCUAUAUUCCGUAAUCACUCGCCGUGAUUUCGAGCGGGGAAUCCCCCGCCGAUCGAGAGGAAAUAGCGCGAAUUCCAAUGUCCAACGUUCGCGACGCGACGAAAUUGAAUGAAAAACUGAAGCGGGUUAUAAUUUUAAGCACAAUUUUCAGCAUCAUACACAACGAUUCUUCUCCUACAUUAAAUUACCAAUUAAAGUAGAUUCAAGUUUGAACGAUCACUUGCUUCUUUCUAAGAAGGAACUAGGGGGAAUCCAUUAAAUCUCAGUUAGUUUUAAUUAAUGUUUAUGGGCUUACAUAGAUGCUAGUUUGUCGCCUUUUCGUUGUCACGGAUAAAAAUAACGAUCGUUUUCGCGUGUCUACAACUUGGACCCAUAUCGAAUCUUUUUUUCAUUUCAGAUUUAAUUUAUCGUAAUUAUCGAUCAUCCUUUGCACCGAGACCUACUUUGUUAUUCAGAUAGCGUGUGCAUUUUUUUUUUAUUUCGACAGAAUCCUCUUAAAUCACGAGACAUUAAGUCUCGAUAACAGCCGAUAAUAGUGCCGGAAACAGCAUUAUUCAUUAAGUUUAAUGCAUUUUCAUAAAAUACGCCAUAAAAUAGCUUAUUUUUAUGUUCCUGGAUACGGAACACAUACAUAUUUCAUUAAGAAAGACCGUCUUUAUUAAUUUUAUUCAUUUUAAACAAUGUAUAGGCACGAUGUCCUUGCGAGCCUCGUGAAAAAAAACACACGUCAUAUGCGACGAAGAAGAAAAAAGAAGAAAAGAAAAGGGAAGAGUGAGAGAGAGAGUGCACAAGUGAGAUGAGGGGAAAAAGGAUCAGGUUCCUCUCCACGUUUUCAACGGGAGUACGAAAUUACGUUCGGCGUGUAUUCGGCGAGAGGGAGACACGCUAAAACGACGUCGACGUUUAUAACUCUUUGAUGUAUUUCGAGUCUUAUGCGCCCUGCCGGAGCAAGUUUUAGCAAACGUUGGUCGAGUGCAAUCGGACUGUGCGGAUUGAAAAAAAGAAGAUAUUAAAAAUACGACGAUUAUACAUCGUAAUUACUGCAAUUUCAAAGGGUUAAAGUCUGGUGUCACUUGGCUGAUAUCAAAUCGAUCGCGCACAGCGAUCGGCUGGUCCAGUAUCUUGUGUAAACGCUCGAGGUUGAAGCAUGACCGAAGGAUGCGAGAGAGAGAGAGAGAGA
This is a long non-coding RNA of Formica exsecta, 2346 nucleotides long. RefSeq lists it as uncharacterized. The transcript is spliced from 2 exons. The record is from RefSeq and is a predicted model, not a curated record. NCBI's taxonomy places the organism in Eukaryota, Metazoa, Arthropoda, Insecta, Hymenoptera, Formicidae.